Scylla paramamosain (green mud crab) is the source of this 1546-nucleotide long non-coding RNA. RefSeq lists it as uncharacterized. Lineage: Eukaryota; Metazoa; Arthropoda; Malacostraca; Decapoda; Portunidae. The transcript has 2 exons. The record is from RefSeq and is a predicted model, not a curated record.
UGCAUAAAAGAAAAGAAAAAAAAAGGCACAGAUGGAUGAAGGAGUGGUACAAGAAAAGACAUGAGUACAGCAAUGAGAAGCUGCUGAAGGAGAUAAGGGUCAGUGAUCCAGAGGAUUAUAGAAAUUAUAUGCGAAUGGACAGUGCAGCAUUUGACAAUUUACUGAAGAUGGUGGCUCCAAUUAUUUCCAAAAAGAACAUUGUGAUGCGGGAAUGUAUCCCUGCAAGUAUGUAGUUAUCAGUAACACUGCGUUAUCUGGUCACUGGCAACACAUUUGAAGACCUGAAAAAUUAGUAGUGCGGUGUCCCCUCGGUCAAUCAGUUGCAUCGUAAUGGAGACAUGCAGAGCUAUCAUUCAUUGCCUCAAAGAAUAUAUAAAGCUUCCUAGGACAACAGAAGAGUGGAAGGUGAUUGCAAAGGGCUUCAAAAAGCACUAGAACUUCCCUCAGUGCCUUGGUACUAUUGACAGCAAGCAUGUGGAAAUGAAAUGUCCACUGAACUCGGGAUCUAUGUUCUACAAUUACAAGAAAACAUAUAGCAUUGUAUUAAUGGCAGUUGUAAACUCUGGGUAUAAAUUUAUAAUGGCAGAUACUGGUGUUAAUGGUAGGUGUCUGAUAGAGUUGUAUUUAGUCACACAACAUUUGGACAGAUGUUCAAAGAUCAGUCUCUACAUAUCCCUGAAUCUGCCUGUUUACCAAACUGUGACAGACAAGUUCCAUAUGUCCUGAUAGGUGAUGAUGCUUUUACUUUGUCUGAAAAUUUGUUGAAGCCAUACAACCAAGCUGAACUGAAUAAUCCUAAACAUAUAUUCAAUUAUCAGCUUAGUAGAGCAAGACACAUUGGUGAAAAUGUGUUUGGCAUUAUGAAUGCUCGGUUUGGUGUGUUCCAGAGGCCUAUUUGGGUAUCACCUGAUAAAGCUCAGUACAUUUUUUUUUUUUUUUUUUUUAGCUUGCUGCUAUUUACAUAUUUACUUGCGAAGAGGGAAAUGACAUGCAUACAUUCACCAAGGCAAUGUGGACAAGAGAAAAUCUGGAGACCAGACAGAUUCAUGAGGGAUCAUGGCAAUUAGUACCAAAACUACUAAAUUUGCAGAGUACUAAGACUAGAAAUCCAUCACAGCAUACAAAAAUGGUUAGGGAGAGCUACUGUGAAUACUUUAACCUAGAAGGAAAGGUUCCAUGGCACAAGAGAUACGCUAUAUAAAAUAACAGUACAAUAGUAGGCUUUGCAUUUGGACCACUAUUAUUUGUUUUAUGAUGUUAGUUGCAUUCCAAGAUAUGAGACAGGCGAUGCUUUGACACCACGAGAGAGAGAGAGAGAGAGAGAGAGAGAGAGAGAGAGAGAGAGAGAGAGAGAGAGAGAGAGAGAGAGAGAGAGAGAGAGAGAGAGAGAGAGAGAGAGAGAGAGAGAGGUGUCACACUCCUUAUAGGCUAUAUAAUAAAUUACUCUUUGAUGAUAGUCUAAAACUUAAUAUUAAUUUUUAUUGUGGUAUCAUAUGUUUCUUUAUAUUAUUAGCAAUAAUAGUUCAAUACAUAUUUUACUUACCAA